UGGGGCAACUAGUCAGCUAUGAGCUUUGCCUGCUAUCUCUUACCCAUGUCUUUUAAGUACCUUACGUUUCCUCGGCGGGUCCGCCCGCCGAUUGGACAAUUUAAACCAUUUGCAGUUGCAAUCAGCGUCUGAAAAAACUUAAUAGUUACAACUUUCAACAACGGAUCUCUUGGUUCUGGCAUCGAUGAAGAACGCAGCGAAAUGCGAUAAGUAGUGUGAAUUGCAGAAUUCAGUGAAUCAUCGAAUCUUUGAACGCACAUUGCGCCCCUUGGUAUUCCAUGGGGCAUGCCUGUUCGAGCGUCAUUUGUACCUUCAAGCUCUGCUUGGUGUUGGGUGUUUGUCUCGCCUCUGCGUGUAGACUCGCCUCAAAACAAUUGGCAGCCGGCGUAUUGAUUUCGGAGCGCAGUACAUCUCGCGCUUUGCACUCAUAACGACGACGUCCAAAAGUACAUUUUUACACUCUUGACCUCGGAUCAGGUAGGGAUACCCGCUGAACUUAAGCAUAUCAAUAAGCGGAGGAA
RNAcentral lists this ribosomal RNA (521 nucleotides) under Ascochyta medicaginicola. RNAcentral describes it as "eukaryotic LSU rRNA". The stretch from base 150 to 303 matches the Rfam family "5.8S ribosomal RNA". Lineage: Eukaryota; Fungi; Ascomycota; Dothideomycetes; Pleosporales; Didymellaceae. The record is from RNAcentral.